This 382-nucleotide ribosomal RNA is filed under the name Craticula buderi. RNAcentral describes it as "SSU rRNA". It matches the Rfam family "Eukaryotic small subunit ribosomal RNA", at positions 582 to 971 of the family's 1831-position model. The record is from RNAcentral. Lineage: Eukaryota; Bacillariophyta; Bacillariophyceae; Naviculales; Stauroneidaceae.
AUUCCAGCUCCAAUAGCGUAUAUUAAAGUUGUUGCAGUUAAAAAGCUCGUAGUUGGAUUUGUGGCGUGCGCUGCGGCGUCCAUUAUUUUGGUUUCGCCGUGGCCGUGCCAUCCUUGGGUGGAUCCUGUGUGGCAUUAGGUUGUCGUGCAGGGGAUGCCCAUCGUUUACUGUGAAAAAAUUAGAGUGUUCAAAGCAGGCUUAUGCCGUUGAAUAUGUUAGCAUGGAAUAAUGAGAUAGGUCUUUGGUCCUAUUUUGUUGGUUUGCGGGCCAGAGAAAUGAUUAACAGGGACAGUUGGGGGUAUUCGUAUUCCAUUGUCAGAGGUGAAAUUCUUGGAUUUCUGGAAGACGAACUACUGCGAAAGCAUUUACCAAGGAUGUUUUC